Molecule: ribosomal RNA, 250 nt
Filed under: uncultured bacterium
Lineage: Bacteria
Description: partial 16S ribosomal RNA
Rfam family: Bacterial small subunit ribosomal RNA
Source: RNAcentral
UACGGGGGGGGCAAGCGUUGUUCGGAAUUACUGGGCGUAAAGGGUGCGUAGGCGGUCUGUUAAGUUGGAUGUGAAAACUCUGGGCUCAACCCAGAGCUUGCAUCCAAAACUGGCAGGCUAGAGUUCUGGAGGGGGUAGCGGAAUUCCUGGUGUAGCGGUGAAAUGCGUAGAUAUCAGGAGGAACACCGGUGGCGAAGGCGGCUACCUGGACAGAAACUGACGCUGAGGCACGAAAGCUAGGGGAGCAAAC